UACGGCGAGUGAGCGGUAAAAGCUCAAAUUUGAAAUCUGGUACUUUCAGUGCCCGAGUUGUAAUUUGUAGAAUUUGUCUUUGAUUAGGUCCUUGUCUAUGUUCCUUGGAACAGGACGUCAUAGAGGGUGAGAAUCCCGUUUGGCGAGGAUACCUUUUCUCUGUAAGACUUUUUCGAAGAGUCGAGUUGUUUGGGAAUGCAGCUCAAAGUGGGUGGUAAAUUCCAUCUAAAGCUAAAUAUUGGCGAGAGACCGAUAGCGAACAAGUACAGUGAUGGAAAGAUGAAAAGAACUUUGAAAAGAGAGUGAAAAAGUACGUGAAAUUGUUGAAAGGGAAGGGCAUUUGAUCAGACAUGGUGUUUUUUGCAUGCACUCGCCUCUCGUGGGCUUGGGCCUCUCAAAAAUUUCACUGGGCCAACAUCAAUUCUGGCAGCAGGAUAAAUCAUUAAGAAUGUAGCUACUUCGGUAGUGUUAUAGCUUUUUGGAAUACUGUUAGCCGGGAUUGAGGACUGCGCUUCGGCAAGGAUGUUGGCAUAAUGGUUAAAUGCCGCCCGUCU
RNAcentral lists this ribosomal RNA (554 nucleotides) under Hanseniaspora uvarum. RNAcentral's name for it is "partial large subunit ribosomal RNA". It matches the Rfam family "Eukaryotic large subunit ribosomal RNA", at positions 85 to 654 of the family's 3401-position model. Lineage: Eukaryota; Fungi; Ascomycota; Saccharomycetes; Saccharomycodales; Saccharomycodaceae. The record is from RNAcentral.